Molecule: ribosomal RNA, 486 nt
Filed under: uncultured bacterium
Lineage: Bacteria
Description: bacterial SSU rRNA
Rfam family: Bacterial small subunit ribosomal RNA
Source: RNAcentral
GAUGAACGCUAGCGGCAGGCCUAACACAUGCAAGUCGAGGGGCAUCGCGGUGCAGCAAUGCACUGGCGGCGACCGGCGUACGGGUGCGUAACGCGUAUGCAACCUGCCCCGCACCGGGGGAUAGCCCGCCGAAAGGCGGAUUAAUACCCCAUGGUCCCGGGGGCCCGCAUGGGCAUCCGGGUAAAGCCUUGGCGGUGCGGGAUGGGCAUGCGUGCCAUUAGCUGGCCGGUGGGGUAACGGCCCACCAGGGCAACGAUGGCUAGGGGGUCUGAGAGGAUGGUCCCCCACACUGGUACUGAGACACGGACCAGACUCCUACGGGAGGCAGCAGUGAGGAAUAUUGGUCAAUGGGCGGAAGCCUGAACCAGCCAUGCCGCGUGCGGGAUGAAGGCCCUACGGGUUGUAAACCGCUUUUCCCCGGGAAGAAUAAGCCCCCCGCGGGGGGUGAUGCCGGUACCGGGGGAAUAAGGAUCGGCUAACUCCGUG